RNAcentral lists this ribosomal RNA (253 nucleotides) under uncultured bacterium. RNAcentral describes it as "partial 16S ribosomal RNA". It matches the Rfam family "Bacterial small subunit ribosomal RNA", at positions 524 to 776 of the family's 1533-position model. The record is from RNAcentral.
UACGAAGGACCCGAGCGUUAUCCGGAUUCAUUGGGUUUAAAGGGUGCGUAGGCGGAUUGAUAAGUCAGUGGUGAAAGCCUGAUGCUUAACAUCAGAACUGCCAUUGAUACUGUCGAUCUUGAGUACAUUUGAAGUGGGCGGAAUGUGUCAUGUAGCGGUGAAAUGCUUAGAUAUGACACAGAACACCGAUUGCGAAGGCAGCUCACUAAACUGUAACUGACGCUGAGGCACGAAAGCGUGGGGAUCAAACAGG